ACGCACGCUGGCGGCAUGCCUCACCCCUGCCAGUCGAACGAGACCUUCGGGUCUAGUGGCGCGCGGGUGCGUAACGCGUGGGAACCUGCCCUUAGGUUCGGAAUAACUCCCCGAAAGGGGUGCUAAUACCGGAUAAUGUCUUCGGACCAAAGAUUUAUCGCCUUUGGAUGGGCCCGCGUUGGAUUAGCUAGUUGGUAGGGUAAAAGCCUACCAAGGCGACGAUCCAUAGCUGGUCUGAGAGGAUGAUCAGCCACACUGGGACUGAGACACGGCCCAGACUCCUACGGGAGGCAGCAGUGGGGAAUAUUGGACAAUGGGCGAAAGCCUGAUCCAGCAAUGCCGCGUGAGUGAUGAAGGCCUUAGGGUUGUAAAGCUCUUUUACCCGGGAUGAUAAUGACAGUACCGGGAGAAUAAGCUCCGGCUAACUCCGUG
This 432-nucleotide ribosomal RNA is filed under the name uncultured bacterium. RNAcentral's name for it is "partial 16S ribosomal RNA". It matches the Rfam family "Bacterial small subunit ribosomal RNA", at positions 29 to 507 of the family's 1533-position model. The record is from RNAcentral.